Molecule: long non-coding RNA, 419 nt
Filed under: Rhipicephalus microplus (southern cattle tick)
Lineage: Eukaryota; Metazoa; Arthropoda; Arachnida; Ixodida; Ixodidae
Description: uncharacterized LOC119179666, transcript variant X2
Source: RNAcentral
GGAUUUUCUUGUCCUCAACCAGCCAAAGCCAGCCCUCCACUGCUUAAGAUCUUUCUCUCACUGUUGGCGUGUGUUGCGGUACAUGUGAGCGUAGUAACGGGAAGUAGUAAUUAAUUUGACAGGCUCAAACAGCACCAAAAGCGAUGCUCAAAAUCACCCAGCCUCGUGUGGAACGAAUCGACCCUGCUGAGGAGAAGCAGCGGGCUCGGUCUGCCACUAUUAGCACAUUAUUCAAGUUUGGUCUUCUAGUUACACUGAUACGAGCAACGCCCCAUGUUAUCAACCAGUUCCGGAGCUAGGAAGACUACUAUCGCAGUGGCUGGUUUCGACGGAUGGCGCGAAAUUUCAAGUGGAAGCGCUUCGCAAGAUUGCCAGGCGUAGUUCACCACCGACAGAAAUAAACGCGAUAAAAAAAAAAA